GCCUCCGAUGAUGAUCAAAACAUAACUUUCGUUCUUCCGAGAUUUUAUAUUAUGCGGAGAAUUUAUGGAGACCUGAACUGAGUGGAGGC
Molecule: small nucleolar RNA, 89 nt
Organism: Raphanus sativus (radish)
Lineage: Eukaryota; Viridiplantae; Streptophyta; Magnoliopsida; Brassicales; Brassicaceae
Product: small nucleolar RNA Z159/U59
Exons: 1
Source: RefSeq, a predicted model, not a curated record